GUUGUCAUAAGUGCAACAGCCGCUUCGGUCCCAACCCUACUCACCCGAUGAAGGAGUGAAAAACAUCUAUUACCUUUCGGUAGUAACCGAAUCUCAGACUAAGAAAAAAUGAGAAGGCUUCAAGAAUUUGCUGAGACAACGUGAUCCAAACCAUCUAGUCGAAAUUGUCACUAAGACCAGCUGAGACAAGCUGAGGUAUCAGCUACUUGAUACGACCAUGGAUAGUCUCUUUGAGAUUUUGACGCAUAGACGAAGAUGUCUGAAGCAGAAGAAAGAAUGUCAUUAAAACUACAUGCGAAAUUGAGAUGACACCGUGUAUUUUAGCAAGGACUAGCGAAACCUUACCGUGUUUCCUUGUAGCAGUGAUAGACUAGAACAAAUAAAUGUGCGAGCACAACUUAUAAA
This is a long non-coding RNA of Daphnia magna, 405 nucleotides long. RefSeq lists it as uncharacterized. The transcript has 2 exons. The record is from RefSeq and is a predicted model, not a curated record. NCBI's taxonomy places the organism in Eukaryota, Metazoa, Arthropoda, Branchiopoda, Diplostraca, Daphniidae.